GUUAAUUAUAUAAACUGAGCUCAAGAUUUAGAGCAUAACAAAGUUCAAAAAAGCUUUCAUCAGCAGAGAACUCAAGUCCAAAAGUUAUAAGAGAAGCUACAAUGCAAUCUGGCUGUGUGAUAAUCACCUAGAGAAGAUACUCAAUCGUGAGCUCUUGCAGAGCAGGGUCCACGUCUUCUUCAUUGUUGUGCUACCUGCGUCAUUUAACACAAGGAAAGUGGUCCAGCAUGUGACAUUGUGUUGGAGCAGGAGCAAUAGGAGCUUCCUGAGAAACUGGUGGACACAGGAGUUCUGAGGAAUACCCAG
RNAcentral lists this long non-coding RNA (306 nucleotides) under Equus asinus (donkey). Its description in RNAcentral is "lncRNA (ENSEASG00005031935.1, ENSEASG00020017179.1)". Lineage: Eukaryota; Metazoa; Chordata; Mammalia; Perissodactyla; Equidae. The record is from RNAcentral.